This 832-nucleotide ribosomal RNA is filed under the name uncultured bacterium. Its description in RNAcentral is "bacterial SSU rRNA". It matches the Rfam family "Bacterial small subunit ribosomal RNA", at positions 60 to 900 of the family's 1533-position model. The record is from RNAcentral.
AGAAGCAGCCAGCUUGCUGGAAGCGGAAAAGGGAAAGGCUUAGUGGCGGACGGGUGAGUAACGCGUGGGUAACCUGGCCCAUACAGGGGGAUAACACUUAGAAAUAGGUGCUAAUACCGCAUAACAACAGAAAGCGCAUGCUUUUUGUUUGAAAACCAAGGUGGUAUGGGAUGGACCCGCGUCUGAUUAGCUGGUUGGCGGGGUAAAGGCCCACCAAGGCGACGAUCAGUAGCCGGCCUGAGAGGGUGGACGGCCACAUUGGGACUGAGACACGGCCCAAACUCCUACGGGAGGCAGCAGUGGGGAAUAUUGCACAAUGGGGGAAACCCUGAUGCAGCGACGCCGCGUGAGUGAAGAAGUAAUUCGUUAUGUAAAGCUCUAUCAGCAGGGAAGAAAGAAAUGACGGUACCUGACUAAGAAGCCCCGGCUAACUACGUGCCAGCAGCCGCGGUAAUACGUAGGGGGCAAGCGUUAUCCGGAUUUACUGGGUGUAAAGGGAGCGUAGACGGCAGUGCAAGUCUGAAGUGAAAGGCGGGGGCCCAACCCCCGGACUGCUUUGGAAACUGUGCUGCUGGAGUGCAGGAGAGGCAAGUGGAAUUCCUAGUGUAGCGGUGAAAUGCGUAGAUAUUAGGAGGAACACCAGUGGCGAAGGCGGCUUGCUGGACUGUAACUGACGUUGAGGCUCGAAAGCGUGGGGAGCAAACAGGAUUAGAUACCCUGGUAGUCCACGCCGUANACGAUGAUCACUAGGUGUCGGUGGGUAUGGACCCAUCGGUGCCGCNGCAAACGCAGUAAGUGAUCCACCUGGGGAGUACGUUCGCAAGAAUGAAAC